Molecule: long non-coding RNA, 1118 nt
Organism: Bos taurus (domestic cattle)
Lineage: Eukaryota; Metazoa; Chordata; Mammalia; Artiodactyla; Bovidae
Source: Ensembl
ACUGAACCACCUGGGAAGCCCUCUGAAAAAGCCACACAGCUCUAUCGGUCCUGACUCCACUCCCUCAGCAUAGCCUCCAGGAGUCUAAUGUGACAUUCUGGGUAAGAGCCUCAUGCGUGUGCAUAUGACAUCUCCCUUAACGAUGUACGAAAUCGCUGUAUGGAGACAGAUCACCAGCAGGGCGGAGAGGAACCAGCGGGAGACGCCAUCAGCCUGGCAGACUGUGGCCGCCACUGCUACUUCAGAAGAAACGGGCAAGGCUAAGAGGUCCCAGGGGUCUCCAUCUGGAAAGUGCUCAUCCACAAGGGAUGCAAAGAACAUCUGGCCUCAGCGCCCAGACUUGACAACAUCCGACGUCAUUCACACACAGGUUCGCAAGGCAAUGGCUCAUGCGUCCCCCGCUGCUGGGCCCAGGUGAGAAAUCAGCUCCCCCAACAGAAGCGCCAGCUAUUUCUAGGAGAUUCUAAUGGGACUCUGGGCUUCCCUAGUGGCUCAGAGGUAAAGAAACCACCUGCCAAUGCAGGAGAUGAGCGUUUGAUCCCUGGGUUGGAAAGAUUCUCUGGAGAAGGAAAUGGCAACCCACUCCACUAUAUUCUUGCCUGGGAAAUUCCAUGAAACAGAGCAGCCUGGAAGGCUUCAGUCCAUGGGGUUGAAAAGAACUGGACUCAACUUAGUGACUAAACAACAGCAACAACAGCAGUGGGAUUCUGAAAGCACCAGAGCCUGAUGAAAUGGGAGAAAGAAUUUCUCCCCAAGUUGAUGCCACACUCUGCCUACAAGGUACUGAAGUCCCCUCACAGAGCUUCUUGUAAUCACCUCUGGAUCUCACGGACCAUGCAUCAAGGGCUUUCAUAACAACUGUUUGUUCCUGUGACCACUAGACCUCUACAGAUCAGGCAACUGAGUGACAGAGAAGUUAAGAAACCUGCCUCAGAGUCAGCUUCAUCCAGCUCAAAGGUGGAAGGAGAGAGACUGCAGGUGACUAAUCCAUGGGACUUUCAUGCGCUACACUUGGAAAAGUCAUACAUCACUCUGAUGCUCCUGUGCUCAGUUGCAUCUGACUCUUUGCAACCCCAUGGACUGUAGCCCACCAGGCUCCUCUGUCCAUGGGAUUUUCC